AUUGAACGCUGGCGGCAUGCUUUACACAUGCAAGUCGAACGGCAGCACGGGCUUCGGCCUGGUGGCGAGUGGCGAACGGGUGAGUAAUGCAUCGGAACGUGCCCAUUUGUGGGGGAUAACUACGCGAAAGCGUGGCUAAUACCGCAUACGCCCUGAGGGGGAAAGCGGGGGAUUCUUCGGAACCUCGCGCAAUUGGAGCGGCCGAUGUCAGAUUAGCUUGUUGGUGAGGUAAAGGCUCACCAAGGCGACGAUCUGUAGCGGGUCUGAGAGGAUGAUCCGCCACACUGGGACUGAGACACGGCCCAGACUCCUACGGGGGGCAGCAGUGGGGAAUUUUGGACAAUGGGCGAAAGCCUGAUCCAGCGACGCCGCGUGGAGGACGAAGCCCUUCGGGGUGUAAACUCCUUUUCUCAGGGAAAAAGGAUGAUGGUACCUGAGGAAUAAGCCCCGGCUAACUACGUG
Molecule: ribosomal RNA, 462 nt
Filed under: uncultured bacterium
Lineage: Bacteria
Description: bacterial SSU rRNA
Rfam family: Bacterial small subunit ribosomal RNA
Source: RNAcentral